UACAGAGGGUGCGAGCGUUAAUCGGAAUUACUGGGCGUAAAGGGUGCGUAGGUGGCCUGAUAAGUCAGAUGUGAAAUCCCCGGGCUUAACCUGGGAAUUGCAUUUGAUACUGCCAGGCUAGAGUGUGAUAGAGGUAAGCGGAAUUCCCGGUGUAGCGGUGAAAUGCGUAGAUAUCGGGAGGAACAUCAGUGGCGAAGGCGGCUUACUGGAUCAACACUGACACUGAGGCACGAAAGCGUGGGUAGCAAAC
RNAcentral lists this ribosomal RNA (250 nucleotides) under uncultured bacterium. RNAcentral's name for it is "partial 16S ribosomal RNA". It matches the Rfam family "Bacterial small subunit ribosomal RNA", at positions 524 to 773 of the family's 1533-position model. The record is from RNAcentral.